Molecule: ribosomal RNA, 535 nt
Filed under: Distoleon nigricans
Lineage: Eukaryota; Metazoa; Arthropoda; Insecta; Neuroptera; Myrmeleontidae
Description: partial 16S ribosomal RNA
Rfam family: Bacterial large subunit ribosomal RNA
Source: RNAcentral
UUUUUGUAUAUAAUAUAAAGUCUAGCCUGCCCACUGAAAUUUUUGAAGGGCCGCAGUAUACUGACUGUGCAAAGGUAGCAUAAUCAUUUGCCUUUUAAUUAAAGGCUGGAAUGAAUGGCUGAACGAAGUGUAAACUGUCUCAUUUUUAUAAUUUAAUAACUUAGCUUUUUAGUCAAAAGGCUAAAAUUUCGUUGAAGGACGAGAAGACCCUAUAGAACUUUAUAAUUUUAUAUUUAUUAAAUUUUAGUAAAACAAUUUUUAUUAAAUUUGAAUUUAUUUUGUUGGGGUGACAGGAAGAUUAAGUUAACUCUUUUGAUUAUAAAACAUUGAUUUAUGAAUUUUUGAUCCAUUAAUAAUGAUUAAUAGAAUAAGUUACCUUAGGGAUAACAGCGUAAUUUUAUUGGAGAGUUCAUAUCGAUAAUAAAGUUUGCGACCUCGAUGUUGAAUUAAAGAGAUUCUUAAGUGCAGGAGCUUAAGGUAAUAGGUCUGUUCGACCUUUAAAUCUUUACAUGAUCUGAGUUCAAACCGAAGGGCA